UAACCCUGGCAAUGGGCAAAGAGACACCUUGUUAGUAGUGUUUUCCUCGUGUCGGGGACACAGCAGAUGACAGUCCUUUUUUCAUCCUAGCUUGAUGCCUGGCUUGGUGGCCCAAACUAUCUCAUGCCUAGGACACACAA
This is a small nucleolar RNA of Grammomys surdaster, 140 nucleotides long. RefSeq annotates it as small nucleolar RNA SNORA48. The transcript has a single exon. NCBI's taxonomy places the organism in Eukaryota, Metazoa, Chordata, Mammalia, Rodentia, Muridae. The record is from RefSeq and is a predicted model, not a curated record.